UACGUAGGGGGCAAGCGUUGUCCGGAAUUAUUGGGCGUAAAGCGCGUGUAGGCGGUCCGGUAAGUCGGAUGUGAAAUCUCCACGCUCAACGUGGAGGGGCCAUUCGAAACUGCCGUGACUCGAGUCCGGUAGGGGAGUGCGGAAUUCCCGGUGUAGCGGUGAAAUGCGCAGAUAUCGGGAGGAACACCAGUGGCGAAGGCGGCACUCUGGGCCGGAACUGACGCUGAGGAGCGAAAGCGUGGGGAGCGAACAGG
RNAcentral lists this ribosomal RNA (254 nucleotides) under uncultured bacterium. RNAcentral's name for it is "partial 16S ribosomal RNA". It matches the Rfam family "Bacterial small subunit ribosomal RNA", at positions 524 to 776 of the family's 1533-position model. The record is from RNAcentral.